GAUGAACGCUGACAGAAUGCUUAACACAUGCAAGUCUUUGGCGAAGCUGUGCUUGCACAGCCUAGCCAAGGCGGACGGGUGAGUAACGCGUAAGGAACUUGCCCUGCAGUCAGGGAUAACAGACGGAAACGACUGAUAAGACCUGGUAAAGUCAGGCGGACUCAUGUCCAGCCUGAUGAAAAGGGCUGCUGCAGGAGAGCCUUGCGUCCUAUUAGCUUGUUGGUGGGGUAACGGCCCACCAAGCCGAUGAGAGGUAGCCGGCCUGAGAGGGUGGACGGCCACGAGGGGAAUGGGAGGCAGCCGUUACUCCUACGGGAGGCAGCAGGGGGGAAUAUUGGACAAUGGGGGCAACCCUGAUCCAGCAAUUCUGUGUGCACGAUGAAGGUUUUCGGAUAGAAAAGUGCUUUCAGCAGGGAAGAAAAAAAUGACGGUACCUGCAGAAGAAGCGACGGCUAAAUACGUG
This 463-nucleotide ribosomal RNA is filed under the name uncultured bacterium. RNAcentral's name for it is "partial 16S ribosomal RNA". It matches the Rfam family "Bacterial small subunit ribosomal RNA", at positions 28 to 507 of the family's 1533-position model. The record is from RNAcentral.